CCAAUAGCGUAUAUUAAAGUUGUUGCGGUUAAAAAGCUCGUAGUUGAAUUUCGGAAUUGAUGCAUCGGUCGUGCCUUAAGGGGCAUGAACUGGUGUAGCCAAUUUCUCAUCUUCUGGUGAAUUGUGAUGUUCUUAAUUGGGUGUCUCAAUGAACUGGAAUUUUUUACUUUGAAAAAAUUAGAGUGUUUAAAGCAGGCAGU
This 200-nucleotide ribosomal RNA is filed under the name uncultured Glomus. RNAcentral describes it as "partial small subunit ribosomal RNA". It matches the Rfam family "Eukaryotic small subunit ribosomal RNA", at positions 591 to 788 of the family's 1831-position model. Lineage: Eukaryota; Fungi; Glomeromycota; Glomeromycetes; Glomerales; Glomeraceae. The record is from RNAcentral.